UCAUGCAAUCGAACUGUAUUUUGGAGGA
Molecule: small RNA, 28 nt
Filed under: Bombyx mori (domestic silkworm)
Lineage: Eukaryota; Metazoa; Arthropoda; Insecta; Lepidoptera; Bombycidae
Description: ovarian small RNA-2010
Source: RNAcentral